GCGCUUACUUCUGCGGCACAUAUACUAAAAUUGGAGCAAUACAGAGACGAUUAGCAUGGUCUCUGUGCAAGGAUGAUGUGGAGAUUUGUGAAGUGUUUGAUAUUUAA
Gorilla gorilla gorilla (western lowland gorilla) is the source of this 107-nucleotide small nuclear RNA. NCBI's taxonomy places the organism in Eukaryota, Metazoa, Chordata, Mammalia, Primates, Hominidae. The record is from Ensembl.